UGCUUCCCUGGUCUGACCUGGGACUCUGGGGAUACUGCCCCUGUGCUGAGUAACUGAGAUCUGCCAGCCCUGCAGCAGUGCCCAGCCUGCCCCAUCCCCUGCUGAUUUGCAUGUUCCCAGAGCACAGCCCCCUGCCCUGAAGACUUCUUAAUAGGCUGGUCACACCCUGUGCAGGAUUCAGUCCCAGUCAGGACACAGCAUGGACAUGAGGGUCCCCACUCAGCUCCUGGGGCUCCUGCUGCUCUGGCUCCCAGGUGCCAGAUGUGACAUCCAGAUGACGCAGUCUCCAUCCUCCCUGUCUGCAUCUGUAGGAGACAGAGUCACCAUCACUUGCCGGGCGAGUCAGGGCAUUAACAAUUAUUUAAGUUGGUAUCAGCAGAAACCAGGGAAAGCCCCUAAGCCCCUGAUCUAUUAUGCAUCCAGUUUGGAAAGAGGGGUACCAUCAAGGUUCAGUGGAAGUAGAUCUGGGACAGAUUAUACUCUCACCAUCAGCAGUCUGCAGCCUGAAGAUAUUGCAACAUAUUACUGUCAACAGUAUAUAAUUCCCCUCCCACAGUGUUACAAGUCAUAACAUAA
This is a non-coding RNA of Macaca mulatta (Rhesus monkey), 576 nucleotides long. NCBI's taxonomy places the organism in Eukaryota, Metazoa, Chordata, Mammalia, Primates, Cercopithecidae. The record is from RefSeq and is a predicted model, not a curated record.